This 305-nucleotide ribosomal RNA is filed under the name uncultured bacterium. RNAcentral describes it as "bacterial SSU rRNA". It matches the Rfam family "Bacterial small subunit ribosomal RNA", at positions 335 to 631 of the family's 1533-position model. The record is from RNAcentral.
GUUCCUACGGGGGGCAGCAGUAGGGAAUAUUGCUCAAUGGGGGAAACCCUGAAGCAGCAACGCCGCGUGAGGGAUGAAGGUCUUCGGAUCGUAAACCUCUGUCAGGAGGGAAGAAGUGGUUAUAUGCGAAUAGUGUAUGACUUUGACGGUACCUCCAAAGGAAGCACCGGCUAACUCCGUGCCAGCAGCCGCGGUAAUACGGAGGGUGCGAGCGUUAAUCGGAAUCACUGGGCGUAAAGUGCGCGUAGGCGGCUUUUCAAGUCAGGGGUGAAAUCCCACGGCCCAACCGUGGAACUGCCUUUGAA